CAUUAGACCUGGCAGUGUCCCUGACUGGGCUCUAUCAGCUGUGGUCCUGGCCAACAUGUGGACUUUGAGCUCUCAAGAGAGCCAGAACCAUCCUAUAAGCCACUCCUAGGUUCCUGACCCAAGGAACUAUGUGAGAUAAUGUGUCUGAUUUUAAGCCUUUAAGUCUUGAGGCAAUCCAUUCUGCAGCCAAGAGUCAACAAAUACAAUAACACUAAAUGAAACAAAAUAGCACUAAACAUAAUACUUGGUGUUGUGAAGAUGUGGAGCCACUGGACCUCUCACAGACUGCUAGCGAAAGAAAAAUGAAUCUUGCUAAGUCACUGAGAUGUCUCGGCUGGACUUCAACUUGUGAUUCUCCUGCCUCAGCUUCCCAGAGUGCUGAGAUUACAGGCAUGUGUGACCACACCCUGCUGGCCUUUCCUCUUCUAAGUUUUUCUCAGGGAUCGAACCUUGAGCUUGCGAGGCAGGAGCCAGAACCACUGAGCUAAAUCCCUGGCCCUUAUUUCUUAUAUUCUGAAGGCUGGAAAAAUCAUCUGGCAGAUAUCUGGUGAGGGCCUUCUGGCUGCAUCAGAACACAGCAAAGGCAUCAGCCAGCAGCAGAGCAUGCAAGAGAGAACAAAGGGGGCUGCACUUCCUUCUUUCACAACUGACAUAUUUCUGUGGUAAUGAACUCACUCUCUUGAUUAGAGACUUAACCCAUUCAUGAGGUGUCUCCAUAGCCUAACCACCUUCUAAAUACCAUCAUAAUAACAUUUUUCAAAAUAAUUUUUGGAGAAGAGAGUCAAAGAUCACCAGGUACCAUGUAUGGAGGAUGCAGACCUUUAGGGGAGCUCAUAGUCCAGCAGGGAGACAAUCUCCAAGAGUAUAAACCAAUGUAACAUGAGUGAAAAGGGGGAAGGAGCUUGCGCCCAAUGUUGUGGGACUGUUGAUGCACCUUGCUUACCUGAGAAGACCAGGGAAUAAUUUUAGGCAGCAGUAAGGCUUGACCUGAAUCUUUGAGGAUGAGUAGGAAUGAUGCAGGUUGCAGAAAUCCCGAGGGUGGGUGGCAUACAUGUCACAGCAGAAUAGUGGUGGCCAGGGAGUGGCUGACCCCUCCCUCUUCCAUCUUUCCUCUCUGCCAUGGUUUGAGUAUAGGUAGUGUUCCUAAAGGUCCAUGUGUUAAAAGCUUUGUUCUGGACCAAGAAUGUAGGUCAGAGGUAGAGCACUUGCCUACCAUGUGCAAGGUGCUGGGUUGGUUCAGACCUCUCCCACUCCCCAAAAACCUUGGUCCCCAAGGUGGCACUCUUGGGAGGUAGUAGGGACCAGAGUCUAAUAAGCAAUUCUUAGGUCCUUGGGGCUGUGUUCCCAAGGAAGAUUGCAGGACCCCAGUCCUCUCUUACACUGCUUCCUGGCUCAUGAUAGAAGCUGUCUGCACCGUGAGGUGCUUCCACCAGGAUGUGCUGCCCUGGCCAGAGGCCCAAAGCAGUGGGUUCAUCCAAUCUCGAACUGGAAGCUCCAGUACUGUGAACCAAAAUAAACCUUUGCUCUGUGUAAGUUAAUUGCCUUAGGUAUGCUAUAAUGAUGUGAAAUCCAAACCCCCACCCCACCCCAGACACCUGCCAAUGUGGGGAGGGGAGAGAAGUGCCCUUGCCAUCCUGUAGGUACAGACUAAGGAAGGAUGCCGUUACGUAUUCUAGAAUGUACAGAGCAGCUCCCCACAGACACUGUCUAGGCCAGUGUCAAUGGUUCCAAGGUUGAGAAACAGCACCUGGAGAGAGGACAUGCUUCUUUCAAAGAUUAAAGUAUCAGGGAGUAUUAAUGGGUCAGGUCUGAUGCAGAGCUACCUAGUGGCGAGAGAUGCAGUUAAAGAAGUGAAGGGACUGAGUUUAAGAAGGGCUUGGUGAACUAAAAUAAGAAUGCCUGAGGACACUGAGAGGCCCCAAGGAGAUUCUUUGUAAAAAAUUAAAACAAUAUGUGAUGUUAACUACACAAUGCUAAAGGGGCUGAAGGGUUGUUUAAAUAAUCUCAUUAUUGGGAUUGCAUGUCAUUUCUUGUUUAUUUACUAACACAUCUUCCCUAAAUGUCUCUCUAUAUACAUAUAUAUCUCUCAAAUGGUGUUUUAUUUUUAUUUAUUUUAUUUUAUUAUUUUUAUUGGUGCAUUUUAGGUGUACAA
Molecule: non-coding RNA, 2152 nt
Organism: Heterocephalus glaber (naked mole-rat)
Lineage: Eukaryota; Metazoa; Chordata; Mammalia; Rodentia; Bathyergidae
Source: RefSeq, a predicted model, not a curated record